Molecule: long non-coding RNA, 1145 nt
Organism: Beta vulgaris subsp. vulgaris (sugar beet)
Lineage: Eukaryota; Viridiplantae; Streptophyta; Magnoliopsida; Caryophyllales; Amaranthaceae
Exons: 2
Source: RefSeq, a predicted model, not a curated record
CCCCCUCCCCUUCCCACUACUAUCACCGCCCAUCCCCUUUCUAUUGCCACCGUCGCCACCCUUUCUUUAUUUUAAUAUUUACUUAUAGUGAGCUCCUUCAAUUAAAAUGGUCAACUUUGAAGUUUCUAGGUCGAAUUCAACCAUAAAACUUCAAAGCUACAAUUUUAAUGAUCAAAUUUGACCUUAUGAAGCUAUUUUCCUAUGUCGCCUCGAAUCAAAUAAGAAAAUAAGUCUUCAGGGAAACCAAAUUUCAAUUGUCACCAGUAUAAAUUUUCCAAGCCUUAUUCCCCUUGUGUUGGUCGCAAGUGCAAGCCAACAAGUUCCAUCUUUUUUUAUGUUUUACCUUCCCGUUUAAUAAAUUUAUUACUAGUAUGGUGUCACGUAAAAUAUGUGAUAAGUUUAAGGUGUCGACCGUCGACUCAUAAAAAGACUUGUUUCCACUCGUCAAAAAUCAGGAUUAACAGUUAACUUGUAGUCUUGUACUCCACUUGUUUUAACCAUUGUUUAAAAAAAACCCAAGAACCAACUCACUACACCAAGCGAUUUCCGUAUAUAAAAUGCGUUCUUCCUUUAAUCCUUCGCCCUCGCUGGCUCUUUAUAAGAAAAAUCUGGCGGGCACGCUGCAAUUUCAAAGUUGAAAAGUUGCAACACAGAGAGUGAAAAAAAGGACGAGGGAAAUGGAGAAAGAUUUCAAGGAAGAUAUGGAAGGCGAUUCCAAACUUCACAACGCCACACGCUGUGCGAAAGCUGCUAUGCUGCUUUUGUCCCUCAGAAAUCGCCACCAUCAGCAGGAGAAGGAGAUGAUGAACCAAACAAUUGAUGAUUUGAAGAUGGAGGUGGUUAAAGAGCGUUUUCAGAAGAGAAAUUUGAAGAUUUUUAAUCUGCUGGAGUUUACCAUUCAGAUCAUUUUGAUGUUUUCUCUACUCACCUUCUUCAUCUUGUUUGCCUUCAAAUCAGGUUGAAGAUUAUCUGUCAUAGUUACACUUUCAGAUGAAGUAGAAUAAAACAACGAAAUAACCUCGUGAUUUGUGUUGAAUUUUGAUUUUACUGAGUGUGAACGUCGAAUUUUGCAUAUUUUGAAGUGUAAUCUUGAGUAUAUCAACUUGAUCGAUGCUAAUACACAAAAUUUCUUGCACAUUCAUAUA